Molecule: ribosomal RNA, 116 nt
Filed under: Aspergillus udagawae
Lineage: Eukaryota; Fungi; Ascomycota; Eurotiomycetes; Eurotiales; Aspergillaceae
Source: RNAcentral
ACGACCAUAGGGUGUGGAAAACAGGGCUUCCCGUUCGCUCAGCCGUACUUAAGCCACACGCCGGCCGGUUAGUAGUUGGGUGGGUGACCACCAGCGAAUCCCGGCUGUUGUAUGUU